RNAcentral lists this transfer RNA (72 nucleotides) under Ictidomys tridecemlineatus (thirteen-lined ground squirrel). RNAcentral's name for it is "Spermophilus tridecemlineatus (thirteen-lined ground squirrel) tRNA". It matches the Rfam family "tRNA". Rfam says of the family: Transfer RNA (tRNA) molecules are approximately 80 nucleotides in length. Lineage: Eukaryota; Metazoa; Chordata; Mammalia; Rodentia; Sciuridae. The record is from Rfam by way of RNAcentral.
UGCGGUGUGGCUCAGCGGCAGAGUACUCACCUAGCACAUGUGAGGCCCUGAGUUCGAUUCUCAGCACCACAU